CACUUUUCGACACAUGGGAUGAAGAAUAGCAUGAUGCCACUGAUUGCAAUCAUAGAGCCUGAUACAUAGAAUCCUGGGUCAUAAGAGCCAGUAUAAUCAUAAAGCCAACCUGAAAACAAUAAUAAAAGGAAAUAAAGUCCAAAUUUUGUCACUCAGCAUUCAACUUCAUAAAAUCUGAUCGAGUUUGAGUUUUUGGCAACUGGUAUAAAUGACAACUGUAUAUUCAAGGGUGGUCUAUCUAUGAGUUUGCUACAUAAGAAGAAUAUAUUUAAGAAAGUUUUAACCAGGAUUUAGUGAGAUUCUGGGAUUCAAAGGUAGUCUCAGAGGGAUUUCUUCAGAAGUAAAAGCAAGGCAAGUGGUUUCUGUGCUGUCUAGUUCAGUAUUAAAAGAACUGUAUCCUAUCACUGCCAAAUUUUACGAAACUAAGUUAAAAGGUUAAGAAAUUUAAGAUUCUGUACCAAUUUUACAUCACUAUAAUGAUCGUUUUGUUGUAAAAUAUGAAUGUAAGGUAACUCAAUCAAACUUUUUACAAUAAUAAUUGAAAUAUUGUCAUUAAAAUGAGAAGGAAAUGAAAAAUGUACUUUUUCAAGUUGAGGUUUGUAAUGUUUUCUAGGUCAUCCACAACUUUUCUGCAUAAUUUUAAAAAUUACCGCUUCCUUGUUGCAUAAUUUAUAGGACCCUUACAAGCUAUAUAAUGUAAGAAUAUUCUAAUUUAGAGUCUUAUUAUAAAACAAAAUAGUUAUCUCACCUACGCAGAAAGUUGUUCCAACCAUAAUCGAUGCCACCCAAGAUGUUGCUUGAUUACUUUCACCAAAGUAUUUUAGAAAUUCUACAUGGAAAAUACCGAAUGUGUAGGUAACGCCAUCUACUAUAACGUGAAUCAUGAAAGAACAAAAUACUAUCACCCAUCCCCAUCCGCCGUCAGGUGGCUCUGGCAUCGAGACUUCCACUUCCUCCUCUUCCUCUUCUUCCAUGUGUUGAUGAUUGUUAACUUCUCGUGAAUUGGCAACAGAAACAUUGUAGUCUUUCUUAGUUGCAGUCAUUAGUAGUAUGUAAAGAAGUGAGACAAGGCUUGGUUGAUAUCAUAAGUUGAGCAUGUGUUGCGAAACUGGAAAAAAUCAAUUGACAUAAGUAAUAAAACAAGGAUAUAUUUAUUUUCAGAAGUAAUUUGUAUUCUCUAUUAAGACAAAUUCGCCUUUGCGAAAAACUUUUUGAUUGAAAGUAACUUGCGCUUGCAAUACAGAAAAACUUCCCAAUGUAAGCCUACCUAACGUCAAUAAAUUUUAUACUGUUUUUUCUUUUUA
Parasteatoda tepidariorum (common house spider) is the source of this 1304-nucleotide non-coding RNA. NCBI's taxonomy places the organism in Eukaryota, Metazoa, Arthropoda, Arachnida, Araneae, Theridiidae. The record is from RefSeq and is a predicted model, not a curated record.